GCAGGCGCGCACACACUGUCACAGGGACCCUCGGGUCUGUCUCCCUGGACCGCAAAGUCGGCGCCUCACAGGCCCAGAAGUCGAAAAUGAGAAACCUGGGUGAAACACAGGUUAAGUGAACUCGCAGCCCUGGGAGGAAUAUCACGUGACUCACCUCUAAGGUCAACGUUCCUGCCAGACCACUAGCCUGGUGUGAGCGUCUACAACCCGAGUCUUAAGCCACACACAGCGCGAACAUACUAGAAGCACGGACCUCUUAAUCUUCCAGUGCGCCUCACCUUUGCGUCUCAUGCAGCCUUAUGAACGGACGAGCCAUUCUCGCGCGACUUGUACCAAAUUCUCAGGAAAGGAAAACUUUCGCGAGACUUGGAACUUGCGGCUCUUUUUGCAAUAGAGAGCCGCGUGGUGGCAAGCGCAGCCCUUUGGGUAAGCGGUGCUCAGCCGCUAAGUCAUGUCCCACUCUUUACGACUCCCAUGGACUGUAACCCACCAGGCUCCUCUGUCCAUGGGACUCCCCAGGCAAAACUACUGGAAUGGGUUGCCAUUUCCUCCUCCAGGGGAUCUUCCAGACCCAGGGAUUGAACCCUCGUCUCUUAUGUCUCCUGCAUUGGCAGACAGGUUCUUUACCACUAACGCCACCUGGGAAGCCCUUGGGAGUUGGACUGUGAAGAAAGCUGAUCGCCGAAGAAUUGAUGCUUUUGAACUGUGGUGUUGGAGCAGACUCUUGAGAGUCCCUUGGACUGCAAGGAGAUCCAGCCAGUCCAUUCUGAAGGAGAUCAGCCCUGGGAUUUCUUUGGAGGAAAUGAUGCUGAAGCUGAAACUCCAGUACUUUGGCCACCUCAUGCGAAGAGUUGACUCAUUGGAAAAGACUCUGAUCCUGGGAGGGAUAGGGGGCAGGAGGAGAAGGGGAUGACAGAGGAUGAGAUGGCUGGAUGGCAUCACUGACUCUAUGGACGUGAGUCUGGGUGAACUCCGGGAGUUGGUGAUGGACGGGAAGGCCUGGCGUGCUGUGAUUCAUGGGGUCACAAAGAGUCGGACACGACUGAGCGACUGAACUGAACUGAACUGAGUGUCUGAAUAAUAUUCCACGUUUUCUUUAUUCAUUCAUUUC
This is a long non-coding RNA of Bos taurus (domestic cattle), 1111 nucleotides long. The record is from Ensembl. NCBI's taxonomy places the organism in Eukaryota, Metazoa, Chordata, Mammalia, Artiodactyla, Bovidae.